RNAcentral lists this transfer RNA (64 nucleotides) under Anopheles barbirostris. RNAcentral's name for it is "tRNA-Cys". Lineage: Eukaryota; Metazoa; Arthropoda; Insecta; Diptera; Culicidae. The record is from RNAcentral.
GGCUUUAUAGUCAAUAAUGAUAUUAGACUGCAAUUCUAAAGGAAUAAUUAAUUUAUUAAAGCUU